CUACGGGCUGCUGCAGUGGGGAAUAUUGCACAAUGGGCGCAAGCCUGAUGCAGCAACGCCGCGUGAGGGAUGACGGCCUUCGGGUUGUAAACCUCUUUUAGCAGGGAAGAAGCGAAAGUGACGGUACCUGCAGAAAAAGCACCGGCUAACUACGUGCCAGCAGCCGAGGUAAUACGUAGGGUGCGAGCGUUGUCCGGAAUUAUUGGGCGUAAAGAGCUCGUAGGCGGUUUGUCACGUCUGCUGUGAAAAUCCAAGGCUCAACCUUGGACUUGCAGUGGGUACGGGCAGGCUAGAGUGCGGUAGGGGAGAGGGGAAUUCCUGGUGUAGCGGUGGAAUGCGCAGAUAUCAGGAGGAACACCAAUGGCGAAGGCACAUCUCUGGGCCGUAACUGACGCUGAGGAGCGAAAGCGUGGGGAGCGAACAGGAUUAGAUACCCCCGUAGUC
Molecule: ribosomal RNA, 444 nt
Filed under: uncultured bacterium
Lineage: Bacteria
Description: partial 16S ribosomal RNA
Rfam family: Bacterial small subunit ribosomal RNA
Source: RNAcentral